CAUCAUAUGACACAGUUGCAGCAGCCAUAAAGGAUCCACUCGUCUUGGCCAAAUUGCAGUUCUACGCAGCAAUUGCCAGGACCUUCAAUUCCUUCCUGAAAAAAUAUCAGACGGAUGAGCCUGUGCUCCCAUUCCUCCCCUCCAGGACCUGUCCGAGUUGAUGAUGAGUCUACUCAGACGCUUCAUAAAAGUACUACACGAUAUCACUGCCCUGCAGCUGACCAAACUGGAUGUCACAGACAAGACCAUCUGGCUCAGCCCACAAGACAUCAGCAUUGGUCUAGGUGCAGAGUCAGUCCUUUAGGGGAUGUCAUACUGCAGCAGUUUGACAGUCUCCUGUCCUUGGAGAGCCGGAGUGAGGACUUCCUCUCCUUUCAACCCAUGCAGAAGAGGCUGGACAUCUUCCUGAGCAGCGCCAUGGAGCCUUAUCCCGAGCUGUGGGCCUUCUGCAAGAAGCUGCUCAUCCUCUCCCACGGUCAAGCUACAGUUGAGCGUGGAUUCUCAAUCAAUAAAGAGGUGGAGUCUGAUAACUUGGCGGAGGAUACUGUGGUCACACGGAGACUGGUGUGUGACUACAUCAUACAACAUGGAGGUGUUACCAAGGUUCCACUCAGUAAACCGCUACUGGAAAGUGUAGCAAGGGCAAGGACAAGGUAUCGUACCCAUCUGGAGACCAAAAGAAGGAACAGGGAGGCAAAAGACCAGGCUCUCAAGAGGAGGGAAGCAGAGGACUGUCUUGAGGAGCUGAAGGUUAAGAGGAGACGUGUACAGGAGGUAUCUGAGGGUCUGGCUAGGGAUGCGGACAAGAUGGCUGAGGAGGCUGAAGCGAAGGCAGGGAGCAAGAUGGCUUGCCUGAUCACCAGGUCAAACAUCCUGCGGAGAGGCCAUAAGGAGAAGUUGGCAGAACUGGCUCUCCUUGAUAAAGAGAUCGCUGCUAAGAGUGCAGAACUUAGGAGUUGACUGUGUGAUCAUAAUUUUAUUUAUUGUUGAGUUGAUUUUCAUUGUUUAUUGUUCAGGAGUCUGUGCUGUUGGCGUAAGUACUCACCACUAUGCUGCAAUAUUCCAUCAUUCCAUAAUGCUUUACAGUCC
Long non-coding RNA from Gadus morhua (Atlantic cod), 1089 nucleotides. Lineage: Eukaryota; Metazoa; Chordata; Actinopteri; Gadiformes; Gadidae. The record is from Ensembl.